This 475-nucleotide ribosomal RNA is filed under the name uncultured Bacteroidota bacterium. Its description in RNAcentral is "bacterial SSU rRNA". It matches the Rfam family "Bacterial small subunit ribosomal RNA", at positions 28 to 505 of the family's 1533-position model. Lineage: Bacteria; Pseudomonadati; Bacteroidota. The record is from RNAcentral.
GAUGAACGCUAGCGGCAGGCCUAAUACAUGCAAGUCGAGGGGUAAGGCUCUUUCGGGAGUACACGACCGGCGUACGGGUGCGUAACACGUAUACAACUUGCCCAUAACUGGAGAAUAGCCUGAAGAAAUUUAGAUUAAUGCUCCAUAGUAUCAUAAGCUGGCAUCAGUUAAUGAUUAAAGAAAUUCGGUUAUGGAUGGGUAUGCGUCCCAUUAGCUAGUUGGUAGUGUAAUGGACUACCAAGGCGACGAUGGGUAGGGGUUCUGAGAGGAUGAUCCCCCACACUGGUACUGAGAUACGGACCAGACUCCUACGGGAGGCAGCAGUAAGGAAUAUUGGUCAAUGGAGGCAACUCUGAACCAGCCAUGCCGCGUGCAGGAAGACGGCCCUCAGGGUUGUAAACUGCUUUUAUACAGGAAGAAAAAGCCAUGCGUGGUUCUAUGACGGUACUGUAAGAAUAAGCACCGGCUAACUCCG